AGUCGAGGGGCAGCAUGAACUAGCAAUAGUUUGAUGGCGACCGGCAAACGGGUGCGGAACACGUACACAACCUUCCUUUAAGUGGGGAAUAGCCCAGAGAAAUUUGGAUUAAUACCCCGUAACACAACGAAGUGGCAUCACUUUGUUGUUAUAGUUUCGGCGCUUAAUGAUGGGUGUGCGUAUGAUUAGAUAGUUGGCGAGGUAACGGCUCACCAAGUCUACGAUCAUUAGCUGAUGUGAGAGCAUGAUCAGCCACACGGGCACUGAGACACGGGCCCGACUCCUACGGGAGGCAGCAGUAAGGAAUAUUGGUCAAUGGACGCAAGUCUGAACCAGCCAUGCCGCGUGAAGGAUUAAGGUCCUCUGGAUUGUAAACUUCUUUUAUAUGGGACGAAAAAAGGUCUUUCUAGACCCCUUGACGGUACCAUAUGAAUAAGCACCGGCUAACUCCGUGCCAGCAGCCGCGGUAAUACGGAGGGUGCAAGCGUUAUCCGGAUUCACUGGGUUUAAAGGGUGCGUAGGCGGGCAGGUAAGUCAGUGGUGAAAGCCUGGAGCUCAACUCCAGAACUGCCAUUGAUACUAUCUGUCUUGAAUAUUGUGGAGGUAAGCGGAAUAUGUCAUGUAGCGGUGAAAUGCUUAGAUAUGACAUAGAACACCCAUUGCGAAGGCAGCUUACUACGCAUAUAUUGACGCUGAGGCACGAAAGCGUGGGGAUCAAACAGGAUUAGAUACCCUGGUAGUCCACGCCCUAAACGAUGGAUACUCGACAUACGCGAUACACUGUGUGUGUCUGAGCGAAAGCAUUAAGUAUCCCACCUGGGAAGUACGUUCGCA
RNAcentral lists this ribosomal RNA (834 nucleotides) under uncultured bacterium. RNAcentral's name for it is "SSU rRNA". It matches the Rfam family "Bacterial small subunit ribosomal RNA", at positions 60 to 890 of the family's 1533-position model. The record is from RNAcentral.